GUGCAAUAGCAAGAAAUUUUCAAUUGCACAGUAUUCAGCAAUAGCAAGAAAUCUUCAAUUGCACAGUAUUGUGCAAUAGCAAGAAAUUUUCAAUUGCUCAGUAUUGUGCAAUAGCAAGAAAUCUUCAAUUGCACAGUAUUGUGCAAUAGCAAAUAUUUUCAAUUGCACAGUAUUGCGCAAUAGCCAGAAAUAUCUAAUUGCACAAUAUUGUGCAAUAGCAAGAAAUUUUCAAUUGAUUGGAGUUAUCUUUCUUUGUCCAGAAUAGUAGUUGAGUCAACUUAAAUCAUUGUUUUAUACAAUAUACAAUGUAUAUUCACUUUUACUACCAACUGAUAAAUUAAAACAAUCUUUACCAUUCAGUGAUAACAAGCAC
RNAcentral lists this long non-coding RNA (373 nucleotides) under Mytilus galloprovincialis (Mediterranean mussel). Lineage: Eukaryota; Metazoa; Mollusca; Bivalvia; Mytilida; Mytilidae. The record is from RNAcentral.